AUGCUAAUCUUCUGCAGGUGGUUCCCGAAAGAUGGCAGCAUGUUCUUCCAUGAGCCAAACGACGGUCGUGAGCUCGCCGCCACAGCUGAUCUGUUUGGCAUGGGCGUCUCUGCUGCAUCGGACAGACACGAAGAUGAGCAGACGCACCCACGUAUCCAAGAUGAGCGCCAACGCUCUGGGCAUAUCGAACACACCAAUAUUUCUGCACCAGUAUUCCAGGUCUGGCAUCAGAAGCUUCAGUUUCUCCAUGGCAGCACCAUCAUGACGUUCAUAACAGGAUAUGAUGUCAGACUUGUCAGGCUUGCUUAUGUCUACCAGUUCUAG
This 324-nucleotide ribosomal RNA is filed under the name Triticum aestivum (bread wheat). Its description in RNAcentral is "partial small subunit ribosomal RNA". The record is from RNAcentral. Lineage: Eukaryota; Viridiplantae; Streptophyta; Magnoliopsida; Poales; Poaceae.